Molecule: long non-coding RNA, 389 nt
Filed under: Cavia porcellus (domestic guinea pig)
Lineage: Eukaryota; Metazoa; Chordata; Mammalia; Rodentia; Caviidae
Description: lncRNA (ENSCPOG00000039510.1)
Source: RNAcentral
UAAGGCCACCUCCCCAGCGCCCUCUGUACCUCGGGCAGUGGUCCCGCAGCUCCUUCACGUGACUGUCAAAGUAGGUCCACUCGCUGCAGUGGAGCUGGCUCAGCUCCUCCAGGUUCCUCCUGCGCUUCUUCAUGUUGCUCAGGACCAGGCUGAUGAUGUCGGCGUAGGUCGGAGUGGUCUCAGGGAUGAGCGUGGUCCUCUCCCUCCGGGUUAUCAGCACAUCCUGGCCGCUCUGGCACAGCCUGGAGUAGUUCUGCAGGAAGUGCACGACCAGAGGGCUGUGCCCGUGAAUGUUGAAGAGGUGUGAGGUCAGCGGAGGGCUUCUGCAGGCCGGGUGAGACUGGAGGAAAGAGAGGAAAGAGAGUGGGACCAGCGUGUGUUAGGGACUC